AGAAAAAACAAAAGAAACCCAGCCUGGGCAGCUCCCACCACAAUAGAGAAACGAAAUGAAAAUCCUAGGAGGAGUUGAAAAGCAAAAGCAAGCAGAAAAAAAAGGAGCUUCAAAGGUUUAGCCUGAAUGACGCCAGUUGUCUAAAAGAAUGAAGCAGAUAAAUCUGAAACAGCAGUUACCAACAGUGAUCGAUUGCGCAACCCUAACAUAGGUCUCAGAGUGACGAGAUCCCCCGGCGAUAAGCCAAACACAAUUUUCACCGCUGAAGCCAAAACCCACUAAAGAGAUCCUUGUCAACAACAAUGUGAGGAAGCCCAAUCGGACCCAAUGCAAAGUUAGUCAACCGCAACCAUCCCGAAAACCCGUCGAUCCCCGUCCACUACUAGAACAACAAAGCUGGGAACACCAUUGCGCAUAAAGGAAGUACCACCCGUGUGCAAUCCUAUAGUAGCCAGAAGGUGAGCAACGGUGUUACCUGUACAUAAGACAUAGGGGAAGCAACAACUGUGAAAAGAAGCAACCAGCACCUGCACAUCACGAAUAUAAGCCCCGAUAGCAGAGAAGUCCGGAGAAAAAGAGUUGACCUUACGAAUCACAGAGAGUGAAUCACCCUCAAACAUCGCAUCCUGUAACACAAGAUCCAAAUCCAACCGAACAGCCUGAUAACAAGCCAACACCUUCGCUGCAAAUGCCGUUAGAACAUGCGAGGAUAACAAUGAAGGUGCAUUGAAGGCAGCAUCAAAGUUUACUUUUAACACAGUGCCUUCCGAUGGCCGCUAGUGCUCUAAUCCAAUGAGACGACCAGUUUAUUCCAAAGACCGGUAACCAAAAGACAGUCGCAAAAGAUGUGCUUCAAAGAUUCAAGGGAAGCAAGGCACCGAGGGCAUAAAAUAGAGGAUCGUAACUUUCGAUUAUAGAGGUUAUGGUAGCUAAGAAUGUACUUUUUGUAAAUGUGCCAAGUUGUAAUUUUAAUUUUCGUUAGUAGUUGUAGUUUCCAAAUUUUCUUGUACUCAAACCUGCCAGAGUCAAUAGUACUGGUGGAGGCUGAUGAUGUAAGAAAGCGGUAUCCACUUCGAACCAAAUACACUCCUGAGCCAUCCAUACCCCACAACAAGAGAUCAUCGUAUGCUUCUCGAGGAAGAGGAAUACAAAUAACCCUAUCAGCCACAUCAGAACCCAACACUUCGGUAGGUUGGGAACCCAUACAUCAUUCCACACUCGUAUCCUGGUACCAGUACAGAUAUGCCAUACACCCUCGAAUAAAAU
Molecule: long non-coding RNA, 1266 nt
Organism: Gossypium raimondii (Peruvian cotton)
Lineage: Eukaryota; Viridiplantae; Streptophyta; Magnoliopsida; Malvales; Malvaceae
Exons: 4
Source: RefSeq, a predicted model, not a curated record